UAAUACCUGAUAAGCCCACGGGAACUUUGGUUCUUGCGGGAAAAGAUGGCCUCUAUUUAUAAGCUAUUGUAUCAGGAUGGGUCCGCGUACCAUUAGCUAGUUGGUGGUGUAAUGGACCACCAAGGCGACGAUGGUUAGCUGGUCUGAGAGGAUGAUCAGCCACACUGGAACUGAGACAGGGUCCAGACUCCUACGGGAGGCAGCAGUGGGGAAUUUUGCGCAAUGGGGGAAACCCUGACGCAGCAACGCCGCGUGAGUGAUGAAGGCCUUCGGGUCGUAAAGCUCUGUCAGAGGGAAAGAAAUGUAGUGGUGUUAAUACCGCCAUUACUUGACGGUACCCUCAAAGGAAGCACCGGCUAACUCCGUGCCAGCAGCCGCGGUAAUACGGAGGGUGCGAGCGUUGUUCGGAGUUAUUGGGCGUAAAGCGCGUGUAGGCGGUCUUUUAAGUCUGAUGUGAAAGCCCCGGGCUCAACCUGGGAAGUGCAUUGGAAACUGGAAGACUUGAGUACGGGAGAGGGCAGUGGAAUUCCUAGUGUAGGAGUGAAAUCCGUAGAUAUUAGGAGGAACACCGGUGGCGAAGGCGGCUGCCUGGACCGAUACUGACGCUGAGACGCGAAAGCGUGGGGAGCAAACAGGAUUAGAUACCCUGGUAGUCCACGCCGUAAACGAUGAGUACUAGGUGUCGCGGGUA
RNAcentral lists this ribosomal RNA (691 nucleotides) under uncultured Geobacter sp. RNAcentral describes it as "bacterial SSU rRNA". It matches the Rfam family "Bacterial small subunit ribosomal RNA", at positions 164 to 831 of the family's 1533-position model. The record is from RNAcentral. Lineage: Bacteria; Pseudomonadati; Thermodesulfobacteriota; Desulfuromonadia; Geobacterales; Geobacteraceae.